Molecule: ribosomal RNA, 370 nt
Filed under: Escherichia coli
Lineage: Bacteria; Pseudomonadati; Pseudomonadota; Gammaproteobacteria; Enterobacterales; Enterobacteriaceae
Description: partial 23S ribosomal RNA
Rfam family: Bacterial large subunit ribosomal RNA
Source: RNAcentral
AAUGGGGAAACCCAGUGUGAUUCGUCACACUAUCAUUAACUGAAUCCAUAGGUUAAUGAGGCGAACCGGGGGAACUGAAACAUCUAAGUACCCCGAGGAAAAGAAAUCAACCGAGAUUCCCCCAGUAGCGGCGAGCGAACGGGGAGGAGCCCAGAGCCUGAAUCAGUGUGUGUGUUAGUGGAAGCGUCUGGAAAGGCGCGCGAUACAGGGUGACAGCCCCGUACACAAAAAUGCACAUACUGUGAGCUCGAUGAGUAGGGCGGGACACGUGGUAUCCUGUCUGAAUAUGGGGGGACCAUCCUCCAAGGCUAAAUACUCCUGACUGACCGAUAGUGAACCAGUACCGUGAGGGAAAGGCGAAAAGAACCCC